AAGAGCCAGUGCUCUGAGGAGAUGCCCAUGAGAAAACACCAAGAAGGCAACAGGAACAUAAUACAAAAAUUUCGCAAAAAUACUCUCCUGGGAUGCUUAUGGACCUGCAGAUGUUCCUAGCUGAUAAAAUCCUGGGUCUGGAGCACAGAUGGAAAGUGAAUGUUUAUAAGGGUUCUGUGUGGAGAAAUGAAGGGCACAACAGCCAGUAAACACGAAGCUGUUUUCUUCAGUGCUUACUGUAGUCAUGGGGAAAAUUUCAGAAAUUACUAGCUGGGUGCAAUUUGUCUCAGAGCAGUGCAGAGCUGUGUUGUUACAUCGUACAGCUGGAGUAAACUUUCCAUCUUCAGAAGUCACUGGUGCCAUUUGUGACUGCAAUCUGCAGCAUAAGGUCUUUCUUACCCUCGGCUGCAGCCUGAACGCCGAGAUGGCAGGAGAGAGCAGGAACACCUUUCCCUCAUUCACGCACAGCAAGGACUUCCUUUCCAUAUGUAGGUAUUACCAGUUUUCACUGGUACCAGACUGAAUUCCUGCAGAUGGCUUUACAAGGAGCUGUCCUUGAAAAUCACUGGAAAAUUUGGCUAGCUGAUGCUUCAGCUGCCAUAUUUCCCACAGAGUACCAGAUCUGUCUCCAUAAGGGAUGGUGACUUCUUGUUAAAUUACUUGUCCUGUUAGUUACAAUCUAAUUAAGUAGACCUGUCUCGUUAAUUUGUAUUAAAUCCCAUAUAUCCAAGGUACUGUCUCUCCCUUCACACUUAUAUAAGUCCCUGCCUGGUGAGUUCAGCCAGAAUGAUUCAGACUGACAUUUCCAAAUUAAAUUAGAAGUCUGUGGAUUUUAAAUGGACAGUCUCAUGCUCAGGAACUGUGGACCUUUGACUUUGAAAUGCACUUUUCUUUUUGGCCUGAUGUAGCAUAAGCUUGUUGGAAUGCAAGUCCCAGCACAAAUUUAUCUAUUUAUUCAUGUUGUUUCUCAGGGGAAAAUUUCAGGGAAAUCAGGGGAUUUCAUGGCAGUGGAGUUUUAUCAAAAUUAAUCUAACUGGAUAGAAUUGAUGUAAGUGGAUGUUGUAAACAUUGUGGAGCAUUUUGG
Molecule: long non-coding RNA, 1084 nt
Organism: Zonotrichia leucophrys gambelii
Lineage: Eukaryota; Metazoa; Chordata; Aves; Passeriformes; Passerellidae
Exons: 3
Source: RefSeq, a predicted model, not a curated record